Long non-coding RNA from Scophthalmus maximus (turbot), 2282 nucleotides. The record is from Ensembl. Lineage: Eukaryota; Metazoa; Chordata; Actinopteri; Pleuronectiformes; Scophthalmidae.
AUGACAAAGCGUAAGAUCAUGAAUGAGUCUUCUAUGGCUCUAUCUUUUUUGUUUUUUUUCAUGGUGACAUUGGCAGUGCGCGUCUUCUGCGUGAGUCACGAAACGUUGCGAAACGCGCUGGCGAGCGGACGGAAACUUUGCAUCAAACGGCCAAACGCCUCGGAUGUGGGGGAGAACAUAAAGGCAUCGAAGCGGGUGCGAUGGACACACGGGAAGAAUCGGAGCUGUCGAGCUACGACUUGGAGCAGCCGCGGCGAUCCCGUUAACCCCGACGUGUCAUCCGCAAACAAAACCGGUCCCCGAGUCUCUCCGCUCGGCUGCAGUCGCCGACCGGUCGCCGAGCGGUCGGCGAGCGGUCGGCGCGAAGGAAGGAUUUCUUCCUCGGAUGAUGAGAUAAAAUCAGUGCUCGCCCUGGAACCGUCUCCCACCUCACGACAGUUAUUCCAGUCACGGCGAGGCUGCUGCGCGUUGCAUCUCUCCGUCGAGAGGAGGAGGAGGAGAAGAAGAAGAAGAAGAAGAAGAAGAAGAAGAAGAAAAGAAGAAACCGCCUGUCAAUCUGCCUCCUAUCGGAGCAACACUUGGUCCCAGAGGGCGUCGCGACUUACUGUGGUGUCUUGUUGCUCCUCGUCGUCGAAGCCCCUCCGCGCGUCGGGAGAGGAUGUUGGUAAAGUCCAGAUCCGAAUAACAAAAUGCAUCCAACUCAGCACAAUACGACAGGAUGUACAUUUGAUCCCAGAGUGAGCUGUCGUGUCACUUGUGUGAUCGCAAUAAGGCGCGUGACAGUGACUGGAUGCGAGUGUUUGAGUCAUUAUGUUGGAAGUGAAAACAGCCAACUUCAUCUCUGACUCCGUCAUCAGAUGAGUCUCAGAGGCAGCAGUCGCUGGCUCGGAAGGAUGUUUUCGUACUCUGGUGGUAUGAGCCAGCUUCUAGACAGAUCAAACACAGGGGCGUGAAAAGAGCGUUCACAUGGUCGACCACCAACAGUCUAACAUCUAUUUCCACUCGCUGAAGCAUGAGGUUCUGCUUGAAUGCAGACUGUUAAAAGUGUGGGAAAUAGCAACUUUUACAUGGAUUAACUUUAAUACAUUUGUACUGUAUGUGAUCAAUGAGACAUUUUCCUUGGGUGGCCCCCGAGGAAAACUUUCUAAUCCUCAUAAAAAAAGUAUGGUGUUUGAGCAGGCAGAAUCUUUUAGGCUCAGAAGAUGCAAUGAUUUCUACGUUGCAGCAGCAAACAGCUAAAAGUCACUGUAGAUGUAUCAGAACUGUAUCAGAGCUCAGAGAUAGCAAACACACUCCUGAAGGCUCUAGAAAUUAAAGGAUAAAUUGGCAUAAUUUCUCUUUUUGUCAAAAAAAUAAAUCCCUCAAAUAAUGCUGAAGACAAUAUGAUGUGGUGUGAUGAUGUUUUUUGUCUUUGGCCAUUUUUUAGUCUCAUUGGUGCGAAAUGUCACAUGCCUUGUGUGCGUCAUGAUUUUUUCACUGAACCUGUUCCAACUGCAACUGCAACACAUUUUGCUUUUAUUGAUAAACUAAAAUCUUCCACGUCAACCAAGCGUGAAACAUAUUUUCCUUACAAAAAGUUUUUAUUACAUGAAAAAAUCAACAACAUUUAAAAAUAACCGGAUGGGAAUUACACUUCUUAGUUUUUUAAUUUUUUUUUAAUUUUUUGGACAAAGAUGGAUUUUAUUCUAUUCAUGGGAUUUGUUGGCAAGAAGAACAAUUUCGACUCUUUUUUUUUUUAAAGCUACCAAGCCAAUGACACUGUAUACAACCAGGACCUCAACAAAGAAUGGCCUGACAUAAUUGACAUUGCUAAUCCACAGUUACUUGCGCAUAGGUACAUAAUGCUCUGUCUGUAGCUAUCUCACACCAAAAAUUGCUUUGCACGGUGCCGACCCUAAAAGCUUCCCUGGUGCGCCUCGAGCUAAUUUUUCACCUCAUUAGUCUGGACGGACAUAAAAACUGGGACACAGUGAGGACAAAGCAGGUUUGUGUGUAUACAUCCGCAGCAGGAGAGCGUGGGACAAUGCAGUGGAGAGGGAGGCCAUGUUAACUGGAGUGUUUGUACACCACAGUUCUCAUCGGGCAUAAUGGCAGUGAAUUAUGUGAUAAGAAAGGGCAGCAGUGCAUCACAGAGACUCACGUGCGUGUGUCAUGUAGAAGUACUUCCACCUAUAUGUGUGUGUCGAUAGGUGAUUGCACACACACACACACACGUAUGGUCUAACCAGGAGGCGAGGGCAGGAUUUGACACUGAUGAAUGAUGUGAGCAGGGCUGUUCUCUC